RNAcentral lists this ribosomal RNA (497 nucleotides) under uncultured bacterium. Its description in RNAcentral is "partial 16S ribosomal RNA". It matches the Rfam family "Bacterial small subunit ribosomal RNA", at positions 28 to 507 of the family's 1533-position model. The record is from RNAcentral.
GAUGAACGCUGGCGGCGUGCCUAAUACAUGCAAGUCGAGCGAACAGACGAGGAGCUUGCUCCUCUGACGUUAGCGGCGGACGGGUGAGUAACACGUGGAUAACCUACCUAUAAGACUGGGAUAACUUCGGGAAACCGGAGCUAAUACCGGAUAAUAUAUUGAACCGCAUGGUUCAAUAGUGAAAGACGGUUUUGCUGUCACUUAUAGAUGGAUCCGCGCCGCAUUAGCUAGUUGGUAAGGUAACGGCUUACCAAGGCGACGAUGCGUAGCCGACCUGAGAGGGUGAUCGGCCACACUGGAACUGAGACACGGUCCAGACUCCUACGGGAGGCAGCAGUAGGGAAUCUUCCGCAAUGGGCGAAAGCCUGACGGAGCAACGACGCGUGAGUGAUGAAGGUCUUCGGAUCGUAAAACUCUGUUAUUAGGGAAGAACAAAUGUGUAAGUAACUAUGCACGUCUUGACGGUACCUAAUCAGAAAGCCACGGCUAACUACGUG